Molecule: ribosomal RNA, 253 nt
Filed under: uncultured bacterium
Lineage: Bacteria
Description: partial 16S ribosomal RNA
Rfam family: Bacterial small subunit ribosomal RNA
Source: RNAcentral
GACAGAGGUGCCGAGCGUUAGGCGGAAUCACUGGGCUUAAAGCGUGUGUAGGCGGGUCGUUAAGUGCCUUGUGAAAUCCCACAGCUCACCUGUGGAACUGCUUGGCAUACUGGCGAUCUUGAGCCACUUAGGGGCAACCGGAACAAACGGUGGAGCGGUGAAAUGCGUAGAUAUCUGGAGGAACACCGGUGGCGAAGGCGGCGUUCUGGACUGCAACUGACACUGAGGAACGAAAGCCAGGGGAGCAAACGGG